Molecule: ribosomal RNA, 305 nt
Filed under: uncultured bacterium
Lineage: Bacteria
Description: bacterial SSU rRNA
Rfam family: Bacterial small subunit ribosomal RNA
Source: RNAcentral
AAAAACCUACGGGGGGCAGCAGUGGGGAAUAUUGCACAAUGGGGGAAACCCUGAUGCAGCGACGCCGCGUGAGCGAAGAAGUAUUUCGGUAUGUAAAGCUCUAUCAGCAGGGAAGAAAAUGACGGUACCUGAGUAAGAAGCUCCGGCUAAAUACGUGCCAGCAGCCGCGGUAAUACGUAUGGAGCAAGCGUUAUCCGGAUUUACUGGGCGUAAAGGGAGCGUAGGCGGCCUGCCAAGUCUGAUGUGAAAUACCGGGGCUCAACCCCGGGGCUGCAUUUGAAACUGUUUUUCUUGAGUGAUGGAGG